AAGGAAUAUUGCGCAAUGGAGGAAACUCUGACGCAGCAACGCCGCGUGCAGGAAGAAGGCCCUUUGGGUCGUAAACUGCUGUAGCAGGGGAACAACGGUCUCCCACGGGGAGACGUGAAGGUACCCUGAAAGUAAGCUCCGGCUAACUACGUGCCAGCAGCCGCGGUAAUACGUAGGGAGCAAGCGUUGUCCGGAUUCACUGGGUGUAAAGGGUGCGUAGGCGGGACAAUAAGUCAGUGGUGAAAUCUUACGGCUCAACCGUGAAACUGCCAUUGAUACUGUUGUUCUUGAGUUCGGGAGAGGUUGAUGGAAUUCCAGGUGUAGCGGUGAAAUGCGUAGAUAUCUGGAAGAACACCAGUGGCGAAGGCGGUCAACUGGCCCGAAACUGACGCUGAGGCACGAAAGCGUGGGUAGCGAAC
This 419-nucleotide ribosomal RNA is filed under the name uncultured bacterium. Its description in RNAcentral is "bacterial SSU rRNA". It matches the Rfam family "Bacterial small subunit ribosomal RNA", at positions 356 to 773 of the family's 1533-position model. The record is from RNAcentral.